CAGAUAAGACGUCUAUAGAAGGCUCUGCCACCUCACACACAGAGACAGACGGACACACGGACAGACUCUUAGCUUGGACUCCUUAUAUUGGCUGAGGCAUAGGGUGGUUCUCCAUAUGCGUACUACCGUGCUCCAAACACGCAAAUUGGAGCAGCGGAGGGUCGGAGUAUGUGAAACGGAGCGCGGAGGCCACUUCACUAAUGCGUACUCCGUUUAGAGUAACAUGCAUCGAUGCUUCAACAGGAAGUAUGAACAGAAAUAUAACGCUACCAUGUCAAAAAAUACGUACACACACACACCAGAUGGACAAACACACACACACCAGAUGGACACACACACCACAUGGCUAGAUGGACUGGACAGUGGAGUGGCAGGGCCGAUCAUAGAGAAUGAUGGCUGUGGUGACAUCAAUCUACUAAUAUAACAAACAACGUGGCUGUGUGUGUAGAGAGGAUAAAGAGAAUAGAGAAUAUAUAGAGUUAGAGAGGAUAGAAAGGAUAUAGAGUUAGAGAGGAUAUAGAGUUAGAGAGGAUAUAGAGGAUAUAGAGGAUAUUGUCACUUCCUGACCAGUAUAAGGAGUUAUUGGUUAUUGUAGUUUGGUCAAGAUGUGGCAGGGGGUAUUUGUUUUAUGUGGUUCGGGGUUUAAUGGGAUAUGUAUUUAUGUAAGAGGGGUGUUUGAUUUAUGUGUUCCGGGGUUUUUGGGUAAUGUUCUUGUUUUGUAUUUCUAUGGUUUUCUAUGUUGUGUAUUUCUUUGUUUGGCCUGUAUGGCUCUCAAUCGGGAACAGCUGUACAUCAUUGUUGCUGAUUGAGAGUCAUACUAAGGUAGCCCUGUUUUCACCUGUCCCUUUGUGGGAAGUUGUUGUUGUACUGCUGUGUGUUAGCCUGCAACACUGUUCGUUCG
Molecule: long non-coding RNA, 901 nt
Filed under: Salmo salar (Atlantic salmon)
Lineage: Eukaryota; Metazoa; Chordata; Actinopteri; Salmoniformes; Salmonidae
Description: lncRNA (ENSSSAG00000111934.1)
Source: RNAcentral